RNAcentral lists this RNase P RNA (347 nucleotides) under Gammaproteobacteria bacterium. RNAcentral's name for it is "RNase P RNA component class A". It matches the Rfam family "Bacterial RNase P class A". Rfam says of the family: Ribonuclease P (RNase P) is a ubiquitous endoribonuclease, found in archaea, bacteria and eukarya as well as chloroplasts and mitochondria. Its best characterised activity is the generation of mature 5'-ends of tRNAs by cleaving the 5'-leader elements of precursor-tRNAs. Cellular RNase Ps are ribonucleoproteins. Lineage: Bacteria; Pseudomonadati; Pseudomonadota; Gammaproteobacteria. The record is from RNAcentral.
GGAGUCGGCCAGACAAUCGCUGUACGCUCGUCGUAUAGAGGAAAGUCCGGGCUCCGCAGGGCAGGGUGCCAGGUAACGCCUGGACGGCGUAAGCCGAUGGAAAGUGCCACAGAAAUGAUACCGCCGAAGUCCGUCAGGACUGGUAAGGGUGAAAUGGUGCGGUAAGAGCGCACCGCACCCCUGGCAACAGGGGUGGCACGGUAAACCCCACUCGGAGCAAGACCAAAUAGGGGAGCUAUGGUGCGGCCCGCACCGCUCCCGGGUUGGUUGCUUGAGGUGCCUGGCGACAGGCAUCCCAGAGGAAUGGUUGUCCACGACAGAACCCGGCUUACCGGCCGACUCCCACA